RNAcentral lists this long non-coding RNA (582 nucleotides) under Rattus norvegicus (Norway rat). Its description in RNAcentral is "long non-coding RNA NONRATT014681". Lineage: Eukaryota; Metazoa; Chordata; Mammalia; Rodentia; Muridae. The record is from RNAcentral.
CUGGCGGUCAGCACGCAGGGUCCCUCGCAGCCAGCCUCGCGGCCCACCACGUCUCGGUGCCCACAGCGGUGACGCUUGAGUGGCAACUACCGUCAGGCCCACAGAGCUUAGCAGGUGGCGGAUCGGGGAAGCUGUGUCACUUCACAGAGGGUGACUGCGUGAGGGGGCGAAGCGGCUCGAGGUGACAUCGCAAGUCCAUUGACCCGCUGUGGUCCUGCAGGUGCUUCAGGGUCUCUGAGGAGCCUUGGAAUCUCAAAGAUGUCCUUCUAGGGUUAAUGGGAAAAGCACUUACCUAUCAAAUUCUGCCCCCUGAUGGUCAAGGGUGGCCUCACAGAUGCUUUUGUGCCUGCAGUCUGCCGCAGCGGGCAUCUCACUCAGAAUAUGGGAGAAGCCGGACUGCAGGAAUGAGCUCCAGUCUUUCCUUGAGAGGGAGACCAGGUGAUGACAGCCAUGAUCCCAUCGGUUUGGCCCCAGAAGUCGGUGACCUUUGAGGAUGUGGCUGUGUACUUCACGCAGACGGAGUGGGAUGGUCUGUCCCCUGAACAGAGAGCAUUGUACAGGGAUGUCAUGCUGGAGAAUUAU